AGGGGAGCGUCGCCACACGUUGCUCCCGCCUGCCGCUUCCCGCUUGACUCGCUCGCGUUGGUGGCAGGAGGUUGUCCGCCGCCCAAGUCUACUCCGUGAAUGCUACCGUUCUCUUUUCCGCUGAGCUUUCUCUGGCUGGAGAGAGCGGAUUCGCGUCCGGAGCAGCUCCAGCCUCGGGAGGACGAGCGCUGAGCUACGCUCUGAAACCUGGCUGUGGACAUCGGGGCUCGAGCUGUGUAGAUUUUUUUAAAAACUCGUAUUCCUGCUUAGCACUCUUUCCCCGAGUAUGUCCGUGAGCUUAUAGGAUAUGUAUUUUCUGAAUCAGCCAAAUAAUACAUCAGGACUAGCAGAGUUGAAAUCUGUCAGCCGAUCCGUACAGCAGGUCAUUAUUGCCUUGAUUGGGAUAACGCUGAAGCAAGCGGAUCAGUGCUGAGCCAGGAACUUAUCACAGACUGGUGAACAUUAGCCUGAUUACCAAUGCUGUGAGACAGAAAUGUACUGGAUCGUCCUCCUGGGAGAAAAAAAAGAAAAGACCCUUCUUUGCCAGCACAAUUAUAAAAGAGUCACCAAUGCCUAUCCCGUGGAAUGAGGGCCCAGGACAAAGGCAAUCACAAAGAAAAACCUUGACUGUCUGAAGGGAACCACUGUAUAGCAUUUCUAGUCAUCAGGAGUGCCUCGCUUCAUGAGCCUUCAGCAGAGAUACAGGCAUAGUGCCUUGUCUAACGUCCCAAAUACUCAGCAUUCCGUCCUGGCCACCUGUAGCUACAACAUGCUGCUGGUUGGGAUGUCGGUCAACACAGUGGAGUGGCACUCGGUCACCAUUCCUGUUUGAGAGAGACAGUAAUGUCAAAUAGAUUGUAAAGUAGAGUUUGUCCUUGCCCAACCCAAGAAAUAUGUCUGACUGUAGUAACCAAAUGAUAAUUAUGUAGCUGGAGCUAAUAAAUCUUAAUGAUGCCAACAAAUGAGCUACAUUAAAAUAUAAACUAAAAA
Long non-coding RNA from Chinchilla lanigera (long-tailed chinchilla), 990 nucleotides. RefSeq lists it as uncharacterized. The record is from RefSeq and is a predicted model, not a curated record. NCBI's taxonomy places the organism in Eukaryota, Metazoa, Chordata, Mammalia, Rodentia, Chinchillidae. The transcript has 4 exons.